GACAGCUAAGUUGCUAGAGCGUGAGACUCUUAAUCUCGGGGCCGUGGGUUUCAGCCCCAUGUCG
Molecule: non-coding RNA, 64 nt
Organism: Podarcis lilfordi (Lilford's wall lizard)
Lineage: Eukaryota; Metazoa; Chordata; Lepidosauria; Squamata; Lacertidae
Source: the annotation of a GenBank genome assembly